CUCUGCUGCCCCAGGAAUGGGCUGAUUUCCUGAGUACACAUUAAUCUGAGCUCCCUCAGCCCUAGGGGUAGGGGGAUUGGGGGCACAAGAUGGGUGGAGCCAGAUAGGGAAGAUUCCCCCAGUGUUGUCCUGCUCCCAGUCCAGGUUUGGGACAAUGCCGGCAGCGUUUCCCUGUGUCUUUCCCCCACAAAGUCUCCAAGUCUUUCCUCAAAUGAUCGUCAAGGUUUGGGAGAAACAAUCUCUUCCUCUGCCCGGGUUGCGUGGAUCUCCAGUGGAAAGGCUUUAUCUACCAAGAAAUGAAUUGGAUAAUCCACAUAAACAAAAAGCUUGGAAAAUUUAUCCACCAGAAUUUGCCGUGGAGAUACUUUUUGGUAUGGUUUCUGUGGAUUCUCUGCUCUUUGUGCUCUCCUCCCCACAUUGGUGGCUCCAUCUGGCACAGGGAAGCUUCUGGAUGUCAGAAGGUGGAUUCUCACUCUGUCACCCAGGCUGGAGUGUAGUGGCACAAUCUUUGCUCACUUCAACCUCUGCCUUCUGCGUUCGAGCAAUUCUCCUGCCUCAGCCUCCCGAGUAACUGGGAUUACAGGGACAGUAAGUGGUGUUUCCUGGGAGAUGCUACGGUGUUAUUUUUGCACUACAAGGGCUCUGAAGACUGCCAGGCUUGAAGUGAAGAACCACGUCACCUGCCUAUCCCAGCCAGGUGACAGUGGACAAGGGGCUUCACCUCUGAGCUGUUUUCCAGCUGUACUGGGCACAUUCCUCCUCUCACCCUGACUCACAAGGUGUUAGCAAUAAUGGACACUCCUCUAUCUUCUGCCACACUCUGAACAAUACUUCACUUCCAUCAAAUGGAUUCAUCCCAAAGGUAAUGCCCAUCGCUUCUGGAGGGAGAAAGAUCCCCUACAAAAGACCAUGUUUCUUCUCAGCUUGCUCAGUCCAGCUGAGCCAGCUUUCCACUGGACUCCUGAAUGUGAGAAGGACACAGGCUCCCAGGACUAUCCAGAAGCAUGCCUCAUCACCAUAAAGCUCUGAAACACCGGCUGGGUGCAGAGGCUCACACCCGUAAUCCCAACACAUUCAGAGGCUGAGUUCCUUUCUGCAGAGGCACCUGCUGUCACUUGCUCCUCACGAAUUCUGCUAGAGCUACACUAUGUGUAGACAUAUGGCAGCGUGCUCCUCAGCCUCUUCCGUGCUGGUUUGUCCACUGAAUUUAUCUUGGCGAUUUUUCCUCGUGAUUACAUGUAGAGCUGCCUCAUUAUCUACAGUAGCUGGGAUGCACAUUUCACAUGUUUAUGUACACUGACUUCCAAAAGGUUGCACUUACAGUAUGUGAGUUUCUAAAAAGGAGAGACCAUGUUGGCAGUUCUCCACACAGAAGACAAACUGAGAAGGGAGAGCGGGCACGAAUUACUCAUCUGUCCACAGAGAUGGUGAGACAGCUCAGUGUGGGAAGCUGUAUAAGGGAAGUAUAUACAAUUCUACCUGAAUUGGAAGUAAACAGGGACAUUGCAUUUCUGGUAUUCAGCUGGAGUUGAACACGCUUCACAGAUGAGGCUCACUAUGGCCAAGUCCCAGGGCUGAGGUCCAGGGAGGGGCAGGCUGAGUCAGCCCAUCAAUUCAUCAACAGAGGGAACAGGAGAGGACAGGGGCAGGCCAGCCUGGAACCUAGAGCCUUUGGAUUUCUAUUUUUACUUCUUACAACGAGGUGGUUUAAAAAAAGAGGAGGGGGCCAGGCACGGUGGUUCAUGCCUGUAUUCCCGGCCCUUUGGGAGGCCGAGACAGGCGGAUGACAUGAGGUCAGGAGUUUAAGACCAGCCUGGCCAACAUGGCAAAAAUCCUGUCUCUACUAAAAGUACAAAAAUUAGCCAGGCGUGGUGGCAGGCACCUAUAAUCCCAGCCACUCAGGAGGCUGAGGCAGGAGAAUUGCUUGAACUCAGGAGGCGGAAGUUGCAGUGAGCUGAGAUCGCACCACUGCACUCCAGCCUGGGCAACAGAGUGAGACUCCAUCUAAAAAAAAAAAAAGAAGAAGAGGUUAGACUUAACUGUUUCCAAGAUUUCAUCCAGUUGUGAAAUCCUGUUAUCUGAACUGCCAGGCCUACAAGUUCAAUUCAAAAGAUGGAAUGUAGCUUCCUGCAGUCUUUAAAUGAACAAAACAAACAGCACAAGCUACACUGCGAAGAUGAGUCUGCACUACAUAUCUUUCUUUUUGCCCCCAGGAACCUGGCUUACCAGUAUAUCACCCCAGCGUUGACACACUGGUGAGUGACGACAGUGCGCUUUUUGCAAAUCCUGUGCACUAUGACUUUUUUCCUUCAAGAAUAGAUUUGACUGGUCUGAAAUUCUAUUUUCAUAUUUGGCUGUGCUCUAGUAAUAUCCUGCCUCACUGGACAUGUGGAAUUGUCCUGCGGUUCAGGGAACAGGGAGAGAACAGGGCUGGUCCUCCUCUGCCUCUGGGGGCCCAGCCUCCCAACCGGCCAAGUCACAGUCUCUCCUGAUGAGCUUCCAGUAGCUCACUCUCUCCUGCUGCUAAUCUCUGUUUCCUCUUCUAACCAUGACCCUGUUGUUCCCUGAAUGCGCGAUGUUUUAUCACACUGUAGUUUAUGACAUUUGGAAAUACCUGAGGAUUUAAUGAAAAGGAAAACUUUCCGCCAUUUUCCUUAAUGUCAGUUUGUAGCUUUUUCUUCUGCUGCCGAGGUAAGUACUUCACUUUCAAACAGAAGAUACAAUUUGCAAAGAUUCCCAUCACCAUCCUGUAGGAAACAAAGUUUUUAAGGACCCUCUCUUAAGUCAAUAUGACAGUGAAUUUAGAAUUGUUAUACAUACAAACUGGAAAAAUUAGGCAUUACCUUAAGAAACAUUGUAAUCAUGUUGUAAAUUGAACACAUUGUAAAAAUUGAAUAUCAUAGCUUGCAACAUGUGUGUUGGUUUAAGAAUGAUUUCUAGCUUUUGUGGCUGAUAUUACAACACCCAAAAUCCCUUUGUACAGGCUUAUAAUAUACAUCUUAAUAAAAACAUGACAGAUUUUAGUUACAGAUUGUGUGACUCAAGAACAUAGAAGCAUUUAUUUCUAAAUUAAAAAUUAACAUUAUGUGAUAGUGAAACAUGGGUUUUUGUAUAUAAUUCUAUGCAUUCAAAAAGACUCAUUAUGUGGGUUUCUGUUAAGACAUUCUGGAGAAAAACCGAACAAUUGGUAAUAAAAAUAUACAACUAUGUUUAAAUGGAAUAUGUAUAUGUGUAUAUACACAUAUAUAUUCUGCAUUUGGGUGUUUUUGGGAGGGAGAUGGAGUCUCACUCUGACACCCAGGCUGGAGUACAGUGGUGUGAUCUCAGCUGGUUGCAACCUCCGCCUCCCGGUUCAAGUGAUUCUCCUGCCUCAGCCUCCAGCGUAGCUGGGAUUACAGGCGCCCACCACCAUGCCUGGCUAAUUUUUUUCUAUUUUUACUAGAAAUGGGUUUUUGUCAUGUUGCCCAGGCUGGUAUUUGUCCAUUUUUAGAAACAAGGAGUCACGUCUAACAGCCUCCCUCAAAGAAAGCUGCCCUUUGGAGAUAGCGGUUCCCGAGUCCCGUGUCGGUUUGGGGGUCGCUGUUCCGGGUCCCUUGUCAGUUUGGGGAUCGCGGGUCCGGGUUCAGUGUUAGUUUGGGGAUUGCGGUUCUGCGUGCUUUAUCAGUUUGGCGAAAACUCGCACUCGGAGAGCGCAGCGUCCCUAGCAGGGACCGUCGCCAGAAGGCGCCCAGAAUUGGGUCCCUCCAGGUGGGGAGCGGGACCCGGCCUCAGGCGGGGUUUGUCUUUUCAGCCUGAGGGGGUUCAGGGCUUUGUUUCAGUUUCAUGUUUCAGGAGGGAUUUAGCCAAUGAGGAUAAAUCCAAAGCUCGGCUUUGGGAGAGGUGGGUGGAUGGUGCUGUCCUUUAACUGAGAAAUGCAAGGGAUUCGCAAGGGCGGGAAAGAAGAAAAUUUCGGGAAAGUUCGUGGAAACAGGAGAGUGAGAUAAUAAAUUUACUUUAAGACUUCCUGAGUUUGAAAUUCGUGAUAGUGUUUGUAACUAGUUAGAAAUAUAUUUUUGUAACUAGUUAGAAAUACAUUUAUCUGCCACUCAAGAGAGGCGAGGGCUGGAGAUACAGAUCUGAGAUUCACUGAAAUGGGAAUAAAGCAAUGGGGAAGAUCCAGAUUUUUAGGGUACUGAAUAAAAUGAGAAUAGAAAGGAUAGAGUAGAGAAUACAGUGGAAAAGGUAUGGCUUUGAAUCCUGACUCCACAAUUUAUUACCAAGGGGAUUGGGGACACCGUAAUUUACCAAGUUUCAUAAUUACAACCUACUCUAUAGUGUUGUCUAAGAAACAACAAGAGAUUUUGGGGGAGGAGAGAGACUCUGGUUUCCAGAGUUACCACAUUAUAAUGCUCAAAAUGUCCAAUCUUCAACAAAAAAUUAUGAGGCAUGCAAAAAAAAAAAAAAGAAACAUGAAAAAAUGGCCAAAUCAAAGGAAAAAGUAAAUGAACAGAAACUGUCCCUGAGCCGAGGAAGUGCAGAUACAGGAAUUAUAAGAGAAAUACUUUAAAUGACCUGUCUUAAACAUGAACAAAAAGUGAAAAGAAACAUAGAAAAAGAUCGGAAAGAAACAACCAGGAGAACAAGGUCUCAAAAACAAAUAGGGAAUAUGCAAAAGAAUAAUCAAAUGGUCAACAAACAUGAAAAAAGCUCAACAUCACUAAUCAUCAGAGAAGUGCAAAUCAAAACUGCAAUGAGAUACCAUCAGAACAGUUAUUAUUAAAAAGUCAAGGAACAACAUAUGCUGGCAAGGGUGCAGAGAAAAGGAAAUGCUUAUACACUGUUGGUGGGGAUGUAAAUUAGCUCAACCACUGUGGAAAGCAGUUUGGAGAUUUCUCAAAGAGCUGAAAACAGAACUGCCAUUCGACCCAGCUAUCCCAUUACUGGGUACACAUCCAAAAGAAAAGAACUCAUUCUACCAAAAAGACACAUGCACUAGUAUGUUCAUCACAGCACUAUUCACAAUAGCAAAGACAUGGAAUCAACUCAGGUGCCCAUCAACAAUGGAUUGGAUAAAGAAAAUGUGGUACAUAUGCACCAUGGGAUACUAUGAAGCCAUAAAAAGAAUGAAAUCAUGUCCUUUGCAGCAACAUGGAUGCAACUGGAGGCCAUUGUUCUAAGCGAAUUAAUAAAGGAACAGAAAAACCAAAUACUGCAUGUUCAAAUUUGUAAAUGGGAGCUAAACUCUGGGUACUCAUGGACCAUAAAGAUGGCAACAAUAGACACUGGGGACUACUAGACAGGGAGGGAGGGAAAAGGGCAAGGGUUGAAAAAACUAUUGGUACAAUGCUCAGUAUCUGGGUGAGGGGAUCAGUCAUACCCCAAACCUCAGCAACACAAAUUAUACCUAGGUAACAAACCUGCACAUGUACCCUCUGAAUCUAAAAUAAAAUUUGAAAUUAUUUAAAAAAAUAAAGAUUAUUAAUAGAUAGAAAUUAUAAAAGGAACCAAACAGAAAUUAUGGAACUGAAAAGAACCAAAAAAAUUGUAUAGUUAAAAAGUACAAUAGCAUGAAGCAUGAUGGCUCAUGCCUGUAAACCUACCAUCUUGGGAGGCCAAGGCGGGAGGAUCACUUGAGGCUAAGAGUUUGCCUUGGCAACAUAGCGAGACCCCAUCUUUACAAAAAAAUUAAAAAAUUAACUGGGCAUGGUGGUGCAUGUCUGUGGCUGUAGCUACUCAGGAGGCUAAGGCAGGAGGAUCACUUGAGCCCAGGAGUUCACAGCUGUAGUGAGCUAUGAUUGCACUCCUGCACUCUAGCCUGGGUAACAGAGCAACACCUUGUCUCAUUAAAAAAAAAAAAAAAAAAAAAAAAUUCACAAGUGACGCUCAACAGAUUUGAGCAGGUUAAAGAAGGAAUGAGCAAACUUGAAAACAAUUGAAAUUAUUAAGUCUAAGGAGCAGAAAGUAAAAGAAUGAAGAACAAAGUCCAAAAGAUUUGUGGACACCAUCAAGUGUACCAGCAUAUGCAUGAUGGGAGUCCCAGAAAGAAAUAAGAGGGUAAAAAGGGCAGGAAGAGUGACUGAAGAAACAGUGGCCCCAAAGUCCCAAUUUGAUAAAAGACAUAAUGUAACACUUCUAAUAAGCUCAAUGAACUUCAAGUAUGAUAAACUCAAAGAGUUCACAAUAGCAUUAUAUUAUAAUCAAACUGUUGAAAGCCAAAGACAGAGAAGCUUAAAAGCAGCUUGAGAGAAAUUAUCAGUACAUACAAAGGACCUUCCAUAAGAUUAACAGCCAAUUUAUUACCAUGGAGGCCAGAAGGCAGUGGGAUGAUAUAAAGUGCUGAAAGAAAACAAACAAACUGGCAACCAUGAAUUCUGUAUCUGUCAAAACUAUCCUGUAGAAAUGAUGGAGAUGACAGGCGCAGUAACUCAUUCCUGUAAUCCCAACACUUUGGGAAGCUGAGGCAGGUGGAUUGCUUGAGCUCAGGAGUUCAAGAACAGCCUAGGCAACAUGGCAAAACCCCAUCUCUACAAAAAACAAAAAUUAGCUGGAUGUGGUGGCACAUGCCUGUGGUCCCAGCUUCCUGGGAGGCUGAGGCAGGAGGAACACUUGAGCCCUGGAGGUUGAGGCUACAGUGAGUUGUGAUUAUGCCACUGCCCUCCAGCCCAGGUGAUAGAGUCACCCCAUCUAAAAAAAAUGUGUAAUAAAAACCUACAGAAUGCUUGAAAAACCAUCAAACUACUAUGUAAUUGUUGUUAUUUUUAAAGAAAGCAAAAAUACAGGUGUGAAAACUAUUAUGGUAUUGCUCUGCAGUUAUCACAUCAAAGAUUCAAGCUAGAAAUCCUUUACAGUCUAUUCAACAUCAUUGGUCAGGCAUUCUAGAAUAUAGUGGAUGUGAUCAUCCCUUUGUUGUACAGACCCAUUAGGUUUCCAGGAUCUUUUGUUGUAAGUCCAAUACACCAGCAAUAGAUUUAACUAUAUCAAAAUGCCAAGAUUAAAAAAAGUCUCUUUGCACCCAA
This is an RNA transcript of Homo sapiens (human), 6995 nucleotides long. It is a transcript of the gene named TPTE2 pseudogene 1, with no coding region annotated. The transcript has 7 exons. NCBI's taxonomy places the organism in Eukaryota, Metazoa, Chordata, Mammalia, Primates, Hominidae. The record is from RefSeq and is marked validated.